CCGCCAUGAUCUGCGGGCAGAUCAGGUGCACGUGGCAGUCGAUCGCGCCUGCGGUGACGAUGCGGCCGUUGCCGGCGAUGAUCUCGGUGGACGGACCCACGACGAGGCCGGGGUGCACACCGGUCAUGAUGUCGGGAUUGCCGGCCUUGCCGAUCGCGGUGAUCCGGCCGUCCCGGAUGCCGAUGUCGGCCUUGAUGAUUCCCCAGUAGUCGAGGAUCACCGCGCCCGUGAUGACCGUGUCGGGGGCGCCGUCUGCCCUGGUGACCCGCGACUGGCCCAUCGAUUCGCGCAG
Molecule: small RNA, 292 nt
Filed under: Mycolicibacterium vanbaalenii PYR-1
Lineage: Bacteria; Bacillati; Actinomycetota; Actinomycetes; Mycobacteriales; Mycobacteriaceae
Description: Mycobacterium vanbaalenii PYR-1 5' ureB small RNA
Rfam family: 5' ureB small RNA
Source: Rfam by way of RNAcentral